Paramuricea clavata is the source of this 209-nucleotide non-coding RNA. Lineage: Eukaryota; Metazoa; Cnidaria; Anthozoa; Malacalcyonacea; Plexauridae. The record is from the annotation of a GenBank genome assembly.
AACAACUUGCAACAAGCUUGAUGGCAUUAUCAGACUUGUUGCAAGGUUGUUCUAGCAAGUCCGAUAUACAGUCAUGGUAAAACAAGAGUGUUGCAAGGUUGAGGACACAAGGUUGUAACAAUAUUGUUAUGUUAUGACUGUAUCGGACUUAUUAAUGGAACAACCUUGUAACAAGUCUGAUAAUAUCAACAAGGUUGUUACAAGUUGUU